AAACAAACAAACAAACAAACAAAACAAACAGUUCAAAAUAUAUGAAGACAUAUAGACUAGCAGGACAAGCCAUGUGCAAUUAGGUUACAGCUUCUAAAAUGAAAAAUGACAUUGUAUGGAUUUCCACGUUUCUCUAGGAAGAAAAAAAGAAGCAAAUAAAAUUAGAACAAAAAUUUUGUAUUACUCACCCAAAGCCACUGUGGACCAAGUGGCAUCAGAGUGGUACAAGCAGCACCUGGAUCCUUAACGCCUAGACUAGGAGAGAAACUUGAAGAGCUUGAAGAAUGUUACCAAGAAUGAAAAAGUUUGAAGAUAGGGGAGUUGGAAGGAAUACCUGGUAGAGGACAUUCUUGAAGGUGUGGAAAUAGAGUCUAGAACACAACUGAAUAAAGAGAGCUCCCCAUUUUGUGAGAUUGGAGGUGAAGAGGGAAAUUUGUGGAAAGAGGAACUUGGCAAGGAUGACCAAGGGGAACCCAGCCCACGGCCACGGACCUGUUAGGAACCGGACUGCAGAGCAGUAGGUGAGUGGCAGGUGAGUGAGCAAAACUUCAUCGGUAUUUACAGUCACUCCCCAUCGCUCUCAUUACUGCCCGAGCUCUGUCUCAUGUCAGAUCAGCGGUGACAUUAGAUUCUCAUAGGAGCACGAAUUCUAUCAUGAACUAUGCAUGCAAGGGAUCUAAGUUGCAUGCUCCUUAGAAGAAUCUAAUGCCUGAUGAUCUGUCACUGUCUCCCAUCACCCCCAGAUGGGAACAUCUAGUUGCAGGAAAUCAAGCUCACGGAUCCCACUGAUUCUACAUUAUG
Molecule: long non-coding RNA, 801 nt
Filed under: Homo sapiens (human)
Lineage: Eukaryota; Metazoa; Chordata; Mammalia; Primates; Hominidae
Description: HSALNT0186119
Source: RNAcentral